This is a long non-coding RNA of Ictalurus punctatus (channel catfish), 1094 nucleotides long. Lineage: Eukaryota; Metazoa; Chordata; Actinopteri; Siluriformes; Ictaluridae. The record is from Ensembl.
CACGUGUGAGCUGUAAUGUGAUGUACAGGAGCAGCUGCGUGUGUGUGUGUGUGUAUGAGUGUGUGCGCGCGUGCAUUUUGGUUCUCAUGCCAAAGCUCAGUAAAAGCCGGGCGAGCAGGACGUGACUUUCAAUAAACCGCCGAACUACACAGCUCCCGUCUGUAUCUCUCUUCUCUUUCCGCUUCAUCCGAACGUCCUCUCUCUGGCUCGCGCUUCUCUACGUGUUUCUCAUUCUCUCCCCCCCCCCCCCCUUCUCCUUUGUCAGUCCAUCCUUCCACGCUCCAGCUCUAAAUGUUGGCUGUGACACACUCGUCCUCGAUUACGGCACUGAAAGAGACUCUUUGUUAGAGUAAAUCCUAUUGAAAUAGGUCACACGCGUGCACACACACACACACACACUUCUCCACCCGCAAAUUAUAUCGAAAGAGUCUGAUAAAGUGGUCGUUCUUUUCGAAAUCUCACCUACGCUCCUGGUGUCAAGAAAGGCACCACGUAUGUGUGCCAAAAUAUCGGAGAUGAGUUCGGUGCACACUGGAGAUUUAUUUCUGCGUCUCGAUGGUCUGAUCAAGAUUGCGCUGAUUAGUGUCUCUGUAAAGUAAUAUCACGUAUAUAUUCUUCAUUUAUAUCACUGUAAAGUAACGUCACGUGUAUAUUCUUCAUUUAUAUCACUGUAAAGUAAUAUCACGUAUAUAUUCUUCAUUUAUAUCACUGUAAAGUAGCGUCACGUAUAUAUUCUUCAUUUAUAUCACUGUAAAGUAACGUCACGUAUAUAUUCUUCAUUUCUAUCACUGUAAAGUAGCGUCACGUAUAUAUUCUUCAUUUAUAUCACUGUAAAGUAACGUCACGUAUAUAUUCUUCAUUUAUAUCACUGUAAAGUAGCGUCACGUAUAUAUUCUUCAUUUCUAUCACUGUAAAGUAGCGUCACGUAUAUAUUCUUCAUUUAUAUCACUGUAAAGUAACGUCACGUAUAUAUUCUUCAUUUAUAUCACUGUAAAGUAACGUCACGUAUAUAUUCUUCAUUUAUAUCACUGUAAAGUAACAUCACGUAUAUAUUCUUCAUUUACAUCACUGUAAAGUAAUAUCACGUAUAUAUU